This 463-nucleotide ribosomal RNA is filed under the name uncultured bacterium. Its description in RNAcentral is "partial 16S ribosomal RNA". It matches the Rfam family "Bacterial small subunit ribosomal RNA", at positions 28 to 507 of the family's 1533-position model. The record is from RNAcentral.
GAUGAACGCUGACAGAAUGCUUAACACAUGCAAGUCGAUGGGGAAGUGGUGCUUGCACCAUGGCAACCAUGGCGGACGGGUGAGUAACGCGUAAGGGACUUACCUGCAGGACUGGGAUAACAGGGGGAAACUCCUGACAAGACCUGAUAAUGUCAUGGAGCUGCAUGGCUUUAUGAUGAAAGGAGACGCCUGCGGAGAGCCUUGCGUCCUAUUAGCUAGUUGGUGAGGUAAUGGCUCACCAAGGCGAAGAUAGGUAGCCGGCCUGAGAGGGUGGACGGCCACAAGGGGACUGAGAUACGGCCCUUACUCCUACGGGAGGCAGCAGUGGGGAAUAUUGGACAAUGGGGGCAACCCUGAUCCAGCACUUCUGUGUGCACGAAGAAGGUUUUCGGAUUGUAAAGUGCCUUCAGAAGGGAAGAAGUAAGUGACGGUACCUGCAGAAGAAGCGACGGCUAAAUACGUG